This 253-nucleotide ribosomal RNA is filed under the name uncultured bacterium. Its description in RNAcentral is "partial 16S ribosomal RNA". It matches the Rfam family "Bacterial small subunit ribosomal RNA", at positions 524 to 776 of the family's 1533-position model. The record is from RNAcentral.
UACGGAGGGAGCUAGCGUUGUUCGGAUAUACUGGGCGUAAAGCGCACGUAGGCGGCGCCGUAAGUCAGGGGUGAAAUCCCGGAGCUCAACUCCGGAACUGCCCUUGAAACUGCAGUGCUAGAAUCUUGGAGAGGCGAGUGGAAUUCCGAGUGUAGAGGUGAAAUUCGUAGAUAUUCGGAAGAACACCAGAAGCGAAGGCGGCCAACUGGCCCGAUACUGACGCUGAGGCGCGAAAGCGUGGGGAGCAAACAGG